AUCCAGCUGACGAGUUCCAAAUAGGAGAAGACGUGCGUCCUGGAU
Molecule: non-coding RNA, 45 nt
Filed under: Schistosoma mattheei
Lineage: Eukaryota; Metazoa; Platyhelminthes; Trematoda; Strigeidida; Schistosomatidae
Source: RNAcentral